Molecule: ribosomal RNA, 1439 nt
Filed under: Staphylococcus aureus
Lineage: Bacteria; Bacillati; Bacillota; Bacilli; Caryophanales; Staphylococcaceae
Description: partial 16S ribosomal RNA
Rfam family: Bacterial small subunit ribosomal RNA
Source: RNAcentral
UAUACAUGCAGUCGAGCGAACGGACGAGAAGCUUGCUUCUCUGAUGUUAGCGGCGGACGGGUGAGUAACACGUGGAUAACCUACCUAUAAGACUGGGAUAACUUCGGGAAACCGGAGCUAAUACCGGAUAAUAUUUUGAACCGCAUGGUUCAAAAGUGAAAGACGGUCUUGCUGUCACUUAUAGAUGGAUCCGCGCUGCAUUAGCUAGUUGGUAAGGUAACGGCUUACCAAGGCAACGAUGCAUAGCCGACCUGAGAGGGUGAUCGGCCACACUGGAACUGAGACACGGUCCAGACUCCUACGGGAGGCAGCAGUAGGGAAUCUUCCGCAAUGGGCGAAAGCCUGACGGAGCAACGCCGCGUGAGUGAUGAAGGUCUUCGGAUCGUAAAACUCUGUUAUUAGGGAAGAACAUAUGUGUAAGUAACUGUGCACAUCUUGACGGUACCUAAUCAGAAAGCCACGGCUAACUACGUGCCAGCAGCCGCGGUAAUACGUAGGUGGCAAGCGUUAUCCGGAAUUAUUGGGCGUAAAGCGCGCGUAGGCGGUUUUUUAAGUCUGAUGUGAAAGCCCACGGCUCAACCGUGGAGGGUCAUUGGAAACUGGAAAACUUGAGUGCAGAAGAGGAAAGUGGAAUUCCAUGUGUAGCGGUGAAAUGCGCAGAGAUAUGGAGGAACACCAGUGGCGAAGGCGACUUUCUGGUCUGUAACUGACGCUGAUGUGCGAAAGCGUGGGGAUCAAACAGGAUUAGAUACCCUGGUAGUCCACGCCGUAAACGAUGAGUGCUAAGUGUUAGGGGGUUUCCGCCCCUUAGUGCUGCAGCUAACGCAUUAAGCACUCCGCCUGGGGAGUACGACCGCAAGGUUGAAACUCAAAGGAAUUGACGGGGACCCGCACCAGCGGUGGAGCAUGUGGUUUAAUUCGAAGCAACGCGAAGAACCUUACCAAAUCUUGACAUCCUUUGACAACUCUAGAGAUAGAGCCUUCCCCUUCGGGGGACAAAGUGACAGGUGGUGCAUGGUUGUCGUCAGCUCGUGUCGUGAGAUGUUGGGUUAAGUCCCGCAACGAGCGCAACCCUUAAGCUUAGUUGCCAUCAUUAAGUUGGGCACUCUAAGUUGACUGCCGGUGACAAACCGGAGGAAGGUGGGGAUGACGUCAAAUCAUCAUGCCCCUUAUGAUUUGGGCUACACACGUGCUACAAUGGACAAUACAAAGGGCAGCGAAACCGCGAGGUCAAGCAAAUCCCAUAAAGUUGUUCUCAGUUCGGAUUGUAGUUUGCAACUCGACUACAUGAAGCUGGAAUCGCUAGUAAUCGUAGAUCAGCAUGCUACGGUGAAUACGUUCCCGGGUCUUGUACACACCGCCCGUCACACCACGAGAGUUUGUAACACCCGAAGCCGGUGGAGUAACCUAUAGGAGCUAGCCGUCGAAGGUGGACCAAA